This is a small nucleolar RNA of Psammomys obesus (fat sand rat), 143 nucleotides long. RefSeq annotates it as small nucleolar RNA SNORA48. The transcript has a single exon. The record is from RefSeq and is a predicted model, not a curated record. Lineage: Eukaryota; Metazoa; Chordata; Mammalia; Rodentia; Muridae.
AACCCCUGGCAGUGGGCAAAGAGACACCUUGUUGGUGGUGUUGCUUGUAUAUCAGUCAGGUACAGAGUAAGUGGCAGUCCUUUGUUGGUCCUAGCUUUGUGCCUAGCUUGGUGGCUAAAGCUGCUUAUGUGUAGGAUACAUAA